GCGCCCUUAGCUCAACGGAUAGAGCUCCUGACUUCGGAUCAGGCGGCUGGGAGUUCGAAUCUCUCAGGGCGCGCCA
Molecule: transfer RNA, 76 nt
Filed under: Deltaproteobacteria bacterium
Lineage: Bacteria; Pseudomonadati; Myxococcota; Myxococcia
Description: tRNA-Arg
Rfam family: tRNA
About the family: Transfer RNA (tRNA) molecules are approximately 80 nucleotides in length. Their secondary structure includes four short double-helical elements and three loops (D, anti-codon, and T loops).
Source: RNAcentral